GGAAACUGAGACGCCAGAGCCUGAAAAAAUCACUGGAUUACUAUUACAACCUGGAUAUUGUUUUAAAUACAAUCGUUUCUUGAACACUUUUCAAUAAACUCCAAGAAGAUGAUUAAUGCCGAUUACUAAUCCUAGAUUAUAGAUAAAUUUACCAGCUAUACUGUGUUUAGUUGGUUAUACCUUAUACUUGGUACUCCUAACUCUUGUGCUCCAACUUGGAUUUUAGGUAUAAGCCGUGGCAGGGUACACGCCAGAGAUUGAUGUGUCUCAUUUAUCCAGAUCCGUAAGUUGACGUCAUGCUGAAAGAGGACGCUGUGAAUCAGAGCGUCAGAAAUGACAAAUAUUUUUUUUUAAUGCUCACUGCUUACAAGGAAUUUUUCAACUUACAUUACAACUACUUACAAUCUGCUUGCUUUUUUAAUUCAACUAGACUCUGCACUCGGAAUCUACCUGCGUGAUCACUCUUAUCAUUAUCAGCAAUUUUAAUUUUUAUCAAUCAUGCGUGAUCAUAAAUCAUGACCUAGAUGAAGAAAUUAAAAAAUUAAAAAUAUUAUUUUCAAGGAUUUCCCACUGUACCGGAUUGAGGUAACCGGAGCUUUAAAAUCCAGUAUAAUAUCACCGUCCAAGAUCAAAGUAUCAGAUGUUAUAAUUUUUAAUCCACUCGUUUAGUUUUUACUAAUGAAGU
Cotesia glomerata is the source of this 685-nucleotide long non-coding RNA. RefSeq lists it as uncharacterized. The transcript has 3 exons. NCBI's taxonomy places the organism in Eukaryota, Metazoa, Arthropoda, Insecta, Hymenoptera, Braconidae. The record is from RefSeq and is a predicted model, not a curated record.